CUACCAUGCAGUCGAGCGGUAGAGAGAAGCUUGCUUCUCUUGAGAGCGGCGGACGGGUGAGUAAUGCCUAGGAAUCUGCCUGGUAGUGGGGGAUAACGUUCGGAAACGGACGCUAAUACCGCAUACGUCCUACGGGAGAAAGCAGGGGACCUUCGGGCCUUGCGCUAUCAGAUGAGCCUAGGUCGGAUUAGCUAGUUGGUGGGGUAAUGGCUCACCAAGGCGACGAUCCGUAACUGGUCUGAGAGGAUGAUCAGUCACACUGGAACUGAGACACGGUCCAGACUCCUACGGGAGGCAGCAGUGGGGAAUAUUGGACAAUGGGCGAAAGCCUGAUCCAGCCAUGCCGCGUGUGUGAAGAAGGUCUUCGGAUUGUAAAGCACUUUAAGUUGGGAGGAAGGGCAGUAAAUUAAUACUUUGCUGUUUUGACGUUACCGACAGAAUAAGCACCGGCUAACUCUGUGCCAGCAGCCGCGGUAAUACAGAGGGUGCAAGCGUUAAUCGGAAUUACUGGGCGUAAAGCGCGCGUAGGUGGUUAGUUAAGUUGGAUGUGAAAUCCCCGGGCUCAACCUGGGAACUGCAUUCAAAACUGACUGACUAGAGUAUGGUAGAGGGUGGUGGAAUUUCCUGUGUAGCGGUGAAAUGCGUAGAUAUAGGAAGGACACCAGUGGCGAACGCGACCACCUGGACUGAUACUGACACUGAGGUGCGAAAGCG
This 714-nucleotide ribosomal RNA is filed under the name uncultured bacterium. RNAcentral describes it as "bacterial SSU rRNA". It matches the Rfam family "Bacterial small subunit ribosomal RNA", at positions 49 to 761 of the family's 1533-position model. The record is from RNAcentral.